GGGAAACCGGGGCUAAUACCGAAUAAUACAUUCCUUCUCCUGUUGGAAUGUUGAAAGAUGGUUUACGCUAUCGCUAUAGGAUGGGCCCGCGGCGCAUUAGCUAGUUGGUGAGGUAACGGCUCACCAAGGCGACGAUGCGUAGCCGACCUGAGAGGGUGAUCGGCCACACUGGGACUGAGACACGGCCCAGACUCCUACGGGAGGCAGCAGUAGGGAAUCUUCCACAAUGGGCGAAAGCCUGAUGAAACAACGCCGCGUGCGUGAAGAACGCUUUCGGAUCGUAACACUCUGUUGUAAGGAAAGAACAAGUACAGUAGUAACUGGCUGUACCUUGACGGUACCUUAUUAGAAAGCCACGGCUAACUACGUGCCAGCAGCCGCGGUAAUACGUAGGUGGCAAGCGUUGUCCGGAAUUAUUGGGCGUAAAGCGCGCGCAGGUGGUCCUUUAAGUCUGAUGUGAAAGCCCACGGCUCAACCGUGGAGGGUCAUUGGAAACUGGGGGACUUGAGUGCAGAAGAGGAAAGUGGAAUUCCAAGUGUAGCGGUGAAAUGCGUAGAGAUUUGGAGGAAC
This 570-nucleotide ribosomal RNA is filed under the name Lysinibacillus sp. Bd27. Its description in RNAcentral is "bacterial SSU rRNA". It matches the Rfam family "Bacterial small subunit ribosomal RNA", at positions 151 to 707 of the family's 1533-position model. The record is from RNAcentral. Lineage: Bacteria; Bacillati; Bacillota; Bacilli; Caryophanales; Bacillaceae.